This 28-nucleotide non-coding RNA is filed under the name Mus musculus (house mouse). Lineage: Eukaryota; Metazoa; Chordata; Mammalia; Rodentia; Muridae. The record is from RNAcentral.
UUCCGAAUGUAAGGACUGCAUUUCCCCC